RNAcentral lists this transfer RNA (70 nucleotides) under Heterocephalus glaber (naked mole-rat). It matches the Rfam family "tRNA". Rfam says of the family: Transfer RNA (tRNA) molecules are approximately 80 nucleotides in length. Their secondary structure includes four short double-helical elements and three loops (D, anti-codon, and T loops). Further hydrogen bonds mediate the characteristic L-shaped molecular structure. tRNAs have two regions of fundamental functional importance: the anti-codon, which is responsible for specific mRNA codon recognition, and the 3' end, to which the tRNAs corresponding amino acid is attached (by aminoacyl-tRNA synthetases). tRNAs cope with the degeneracy of the genetic code in two manners: having more than one tRNA (with a specific anti-codon) for a particular amino acid; and 'wobble' base-pairing, i.e. permitting non-standard base-pairing at the 3rd anti-codon position. The record is from Rfam by way of RNAcentral. Lineage: Eukaryota; Metazoa; Chordata; Mammalia; Rodentia; Bathyergidae.
UGGGAUGUGGCUCAGUGGUAGAGUACUCACCUAGCAUGUGUGAGGCCAUGGGUUAUUCCUAGCAUCACAC